GCUGGCGGCACGCCUAACACAUGCAAGUCGAACGAAGUAGCAAUACUUAGUGGCAGACGGGUGAGUAACAUGUGGGUAUCUGCCCUUUGGCCUGGAAUAACACGAGGAAACUUGUGCUAAUACCGGAUAAGUCUUUACGGAGAAAGCUUUAUGCACCAUUGGAUGAGCCCGCACUUGAUUAGUUUGUUGGUGGGGUAAUGGCCUACCAAGACUGUGAUCAAUAGCUGAUUUGAGAGGAUGAUCAGCCACAUUGGGACUGAGACACGGCCCAAACUCCUACGGGAGGCAGCAGUGGGGAAUCUUGCACAAUGGAGGAAACUCUGAUGCAGCGAUGCCGCGUGAGUGAAGAAGGCCCUUGGGUUGUAAAGCUCUUUCGUCGGGGAAGAAAAUGACUGUACCCGAAUAAGAAGGUCCGGCUAACUUCGUGCCAGCAGCCGCGGUAAUACGAAGGGACCUAGCGUAGUUCGGAAUUACUGGGCUUAAAGAGUUCGUAGGUGGUUGAAAAAGUUAGUGGUGAAAUCCCAGAGCUUAACUCUGGAACUGCCAUUAAAACUUUUCAGCUAGAGUAUGAUAGAGGAAAGCAGAAUUUCUAGUGUAGAGGUGAAAUUCGUAGAUAUUAGAAAGAAUACCAAUUGCGAAGGCAGCUUUCUGGAUCAUUACUGACACUGAGGAA
Molecule: ribosomal RNA, 673 nt
Filed under: uncultured Pseudomonadota bacterium
Lineage: Bacteria; Pseudomonadati; Pseudomonadota
Description: bacterial SSU rRNA
Rfam family: Bacterial small subunit ribosomal RNA
Source: RNAcentral